This 465-nucleotide ribosomal RNA is filed under the name uncultured bacterium. Its description in RNAcentral is "partial 16S ribosomal RNA". It matches the Rfam family "Bacterial small subunit ribosomal RNA", at positions 338 to 795 of the family's 1533-position model. The record is from RNAcentral.
CCUACGGGUGGCUGCAGUGGGGAAUAUUGCGCAAUGGGCGAAAGCCUGACGCAGCGACGCCGCGUGAGGGAUGAAGGUCUUCGGAUCGUAAACCUCUGUCAGCAGGGAAGAACGGUCCCUGUGCUAAUCAGCAGUGAAUUGACGGUACCUGCAAAGGAAGCACCGGCUAACUCCGUGCCAGCAGCCGCGGUAAUACGGGGGGUGCGAGGGUUAAUGGGAUUUACGGGGCGUAACGGGCUCGUAGGCGGUUGGUCAAGUCAAGGGUGAAAUCCCCGGGCUCAACGUGGGAACUGCCUUUGAAACUGGCAAACUGGAGUGUGGGAGAGGUUAGUGGAAUUCCAGGUGUAGGAGUGAAAUGCGUAGAUAUCAGGAGGAACAUCAGUGGCGAAGGCGACUAACUGGAACAUAACUGACGCUGAGGAGCGAAAGCGUGGGUAGCAAACAGGAUUAGAUACCCGAGUAGUC